Molecule: ribosomal RNA, 254 nt
Filed under: uncultured bacterium
Lineage: Bacteria
Description: partial 16S ribosomal RNA
Rfam family: Bacterial small subunit ribosomal RNA
Source: RNAcentral
UACGUAGGGGCCUAGCGUUGUCCGGAUUUAUUGGGCGUAAAGCGUCCGCAGGUGGCUGUGUAAGUCUGCUGUUAAAGAGUCUAGCUCAACUAGAUACAAGCAGUGGAACUACACGGCUAGAGUACGUUCGGGGCAGAGGGAAUUCCUGGGUGUAGCGGUGAAAUGCGUAGAGAUCAGGAAGAACACCGGUGGCGAAGGCGCUCUGCGUAGGCCGUAACUGACACUGAGGGACGAAAGCUAGGGGAGCGAAUGGG